GACGAACGCUGGCGGCGUGCUUAACACAUGCAAGUCGAACGGAAAGGCCCUGCUUUUGUGGGGUGCUCGAGUGGCGAACGGGUGAGUAACACGUGAGUAACCUGCCCUUGACUUUGGGAUAACUUCAGGAAACUGGGGCUAAUACCGGAUAGGAGCUCCUGCUGCAUGGUGGGGGUUGGAAAGUUUCGGCGGUUGGGGAUGGACUCGCGGCUUAUCAGCUUGUUGGUGGGGUAGUGGCUUACCAAGGCCUGGACGGGUAGCCGGCCUGAGAGGGUGACCGGCCACAUUGGGACUGAGAUACGGCCCAGACUCCUACGGGAGGCAGCAGUGGGGAAUAUUGCACAAUGGGCGGAAGCCUGAUGCAGCAACGCCGCGUGCGGGAUGACGGCCUUCGGGUUGUAAACCGCUUUCGCCUGUGACGAAGCGUGAGUGACGGUAAUGGGUAAAGAAGCACCGGCUAACUACGUG
This 468-nucleotide ribosomal RNA is filed under the name uncultured bacterium. RNAcentral's name for it is "partial 16S ribosomal RNA". It matches the Rfam family "Bacterial small subunit ribosomal RNA", at positions 28 to 507 of the family's 1533-position model. The record is from RNAcentral.